This is a long non-coding RNA of Equus caballus (horse), 2256 nucleotides long. RefSeq lists it as uncharacterized. Lineage: Eukaryota; Metazoa; Chordata; Mammalia; Perissodactyla; Equidae. The record is from RefSeq and is a predicted model, not a curated record.
AGCGUGGCCUGAUGAGCAGUGCCACGUCCACGCCCAGGAUCCGAACCAGCGAAACCCUGGGCCACCGUAGCGGAGUGUGCAAACUUAACCACUCGGCCACCGGGCCGGCCCCUAGAACUUCUGAUAGGGGUUCUCAGGUACCACAUUCUGCGUUUUUCUUAACUUUGUAGUUUUCCAAGGAAUCAGGACCUGGGUCCACCUCACAGUCCAGGCUUGCCGUCAGCCCCUUUAUACACAGCCUGCUUUCCUUUACGCCUGUCCCAGCACUGCUUUAUUAACAUUCUACUUACACUCCACCCAUCCCCAGAUCCUAUCGUGAUCUUGUCUGUCUGCGUGUGAUGAGACACCCACUGUUCCUCUGGUGUUUGUAAACCUAAUUCUGUUGAUCCGCAGGUUCGGCCCAGGGGGUAUUCAUCAGAUGGGCUGUCGUGAAGCAGAGUUUGAGGACCACUGCUCUUCUUCACUGCUUUGCAGUAAAGGCUGUGGUCCAAACUGCUGUCAGAAGUGAACUCAUGUAACCAGCCUCAAAGAGGGAAGAAAAAUACCCCUGCUCCCCAAAGAGAUGAUUGAUUGGCCUGGGCCAUUAAAUAACACUUCCUAAUCAGUUUCUAGGUGUCAGAAAUUUUAACCAUGUGAUCACUAAAAUUCAACACAGCCCUGAAAUAAGGUACUAUUAUGCCCAGUAUAUAGAUGAGAAAACAGAGACUCAGAGAAGUUAAGCAAAUUAUGCAGGAUAAUUAAACAGCAAGUUGGUAACAGAGCUUCACGUCCAGGUGUGUGGCUCCAAUUUUUUGCUUUUUUCACAAUCUGCCCCACAUCUUUCAUGACCUGCAGCAGCCUAUGAGAGACAACCUCUCUGAGUGGACCUGUCAGAACAACUAAGCCUGCUGGGUAUGGGCAGUCUUCCCAAAUGUUUGCCCCAAGUGCCUCAGCACCUGAUCCUACCAACAGGAAAAGCGAAAGUGGAGAGACGGCCGCUGUGCUGGGCGAUGUGUGCCCAGCACUGUUCUCUAUUCCUUCUCCGCAGCGUUUGGUCCAGUAGCCACCCCUUCCCCUGUAGCCUGUGAGCUUCUGGAGAAUCUCCAGGGAGUGAGCUAAGAGUAAUCGUAUAACCUUUGCCACUGUGGCUUCAGGAACCAGGCUCUAAUACAAUCAGCAGGUGACAUCCUCCUGAUGAUAGGAAUUGGGUCAGGAAUGGGUGUAUGACCAGUGAGGCUCAAGGCAAGAUUUGCAAGGGGCUUCUGGAAACAAAUUUCUUCAGAGCCACUGGAAUAGAUGUUCUCUCUUCCUCUGGCUAUUGCAGGGUGCAGAAUAAGACUGCAACUACAGCAGUCUGCUCAUGACCACCCUAAGGCUCAGACUAACAGGAGAGAUGCAAAUAGCUGAGAAGAUAGCUCAAGUAGAGGAAUGGAGUGGGUGCUUUGAUUGAACCAUGCCUGAUCUCCACCCCACUACAGGAAUUUUUAAGUUAUAUGAGCCAAUAAAUUCUACCCUGUCGUUUAUAUCAUAUUUAAAUUGGAUUUCCUGCUACUUGCCAACGAGAGCCUCUGGACUGGCAAUAGCCUCCUUUGAGGCUCUGAAGACCUCUGAAGACCUUGUGAUAUUCUCAGCCACUCCAUGUGACAGCCUUGGGAGCAGCUGAGGUAAUCUAUUGCCACUCCUGGGGCGUGCCCUGUCACAGUGGAGCACAGAGUCCACACUCACAAGCUGUUAGAGUUGGAAGAAGAUCCAGCCCUUGCUUAAAGUCUAUUUUAGGUGAGGAAAUGGAGGCUGUGAGAAAUGAUGAACCAGGUAUGAACCUAGGUCCCAGGACUCCCAGUUCAGUGCUCCUCCCACCACACUGCGGCACCUCAACUUCCCGCGGACUAGUGGAUGAGCUCAGCACACGUUUACCUGGCAGAGGUACACGUUCCGAAAGACCUGGAAAGCCAGGUUUGAAUAUGGAAUUUUUAGAUUCGUCAAAGUUCUGUGCCAGCGUGUGGCAGCACAAGGAGAGCAGGGCCAGGCCCCAGCCCUGCCCCUGGCCCAUCGCACACUGAGAGGAAACCCCAAGCCUGCGAACUAAGCUCCAUCUAUAACCCCUAUGAACAGCUUGCCCCUGGCCACCGUGGGUGCUUCCAGAGAUCCCAGUAUGAAGAUGCUGGCUUUACGUAGGGGGGCCAUCACCCGAGGACUUGCAGUAGGGGCUGAGGGAAUCGGGCUGACCAAUGUGCCCACCUCUGAAGACACCCCCGCCUCGGGCUGAUGUCGUCCACU